AAUCAACGCUGGCGGCGUGCCUAACACAUGCAAGUCGCGCGCGAAAGGGGGGCAACUCCCGAGUAAAGCGGCGAACGGGUGAGUAACACGUGGGUAAUCUACCUUCGAGUGGGGAACAACACCGGGAAACUGGUGCUAAUUCCGCAUGACAUCGGUCGGGGCUUCGGUUCUGACGCUCAAAGCUGGGGAUCGCAAGACCUAGCGCUUGAAGAUGAGCCCGCGUCCGAUUAGCAGUUGGCGGGGUAAUGGCCCACCAAGGCUUCGAUCGGUAGCCGGCCUGAGGAGGGCGGACGGCCACACUGGAACUGAGACACGGUCCAGACUCCUACGGGAGCAGCAGGUGGGGAAUUUUUCGCAAUGGGGGCAACCCUGACGAAGCAACGCCGC
This 387-nucleotide ribosomal RNA is filed under the name uncultured bacterium. Its description in RNAcentral is "bacterial SSU rRNA". It matches the Rfam family "Bacterial small subunit ribosomal RNA", at positions 32 to 400 of the family's 1533-position model. The record is from RNAcentral.